This 440-nucleotide ribosomal RNA is filed under the name uncultured bacterium. Its description in RNAcentral is "partial 16S ribosomal RNA". It matches the Rfam family "Bacterial small subunit ribosomal RNA", at positions 338 to 795 of the family's 1533-position model. The record is from RNAcentral.
CCUACGGGUGGCAGCAGUGGGGAAUAUUGCACAAUGGGCGAAACCCUGAUGCAGCGACGCCGCGUGAGUGAAGAAGUAUUUCGGUAUGUAAAGCUCUAUCAGCAGGGAAGAAAAUGACGGUACUUGAAUAAGAAGUCCCGGCUAACUCCGUGCCAGCAGCCGCGGUAAUACGUAGGGGGCAAGCGUUCUCCGGAUUUACUGGGUGGAAAGGUAGCGUAGACGGCCAGACAAGUCAGAAGUGAAAGCCCAGGGCUCAACCCUGGGACUGCUUUUGAAACUGGCGAGCUGGAGUGCAGGAGAGGGAGGCAGAAUUCCGGGUGUAGCGGUGAAAUGCGUAGAGAGUAGGAGGAACACCAGUGGCGAAGGCGGCUUACUGGACGGUAACUGACGUUGAGGUGCGAAAGCGUGGGGAGCAAACAGGAUUAGAUACCCUUGUAGUC